Molecule: long non-coding RNA, 3519 nt
Filed under: Panax ginseng (ginseng)
Lineage: Eukaryota; Viridiplantae; Streptophyta; Magnoliopsida; Apiales; Araliaceae
Description: long non-coding RNA (PGIN_LNC011913)
Source: RNAcentral
CCGAUAGGAGAUUUGGUAGCCUGACUUUCAUACGAUUACAAAUCUGCUGAACAAGGGUCUCCACCAAAGCUAAUAAAUCACCAAGGUUUCAACCAAUUUUAAUGGAGGAGCUAAAUUGUAAUUAAAAAUUUUAAAAAUCAAAACGAGGACAAGGAGUUGUACUAAAUCAAAAAUAGGUAACAUUGAACAACAGCAACAAACUAUAUCUAUAUUCCAUUGCAGAAUAUAACAGGUAAGAAUAUAUCUUUAAUUAAAAUUAAGAUAACAUUGUUAUAAUUUUAACAUAAUUAUUUAAAAUUAGUUUUGUUAUUUAUUAAUCAGAAGGGCAACAAAUAGGGAAGGGGGUUAACCAAUAAUUAAUAUGAAUAUAUUACAUGAGAGCACGCAAGCACUGGAAAAGAAAGCAACCUUUGUUUGAUGUACACAUCGAUCACAAGAAUUGGAAGAAGCAGCAACAACAGUUGCAGAGGAGAUCAUAAGCAAGAAGCGAGACAAAAUAAAGAAUGUCAUUUUGUAUAUAAUUCGAUUAGGAUCGAGAGAGAUCAAUGUUUGAUAUAUAUAUAUAUAUAUAUAUAUAUAUAUAUAUAAUUACAGGGCUGGAAAGAGAGAGAGUAUAGGCAAUGCGAUGGAAGAGAGGAGGGUGAAGUAGUACAUGUUAUGUAUAGCUAGCUAGCUAGCAAAUGGCAUUUGUAAAAGUAAAUGACAAUUAAGGAAAGAGAUAUGCAUUUACGUGUAAACGCAGCAGGGCAAAAGCAUAACAUAGCAUAACAUAACAAAGCAUAUCAUCAUACAGGAGGAAAGUUGUAGUUGUCCCUCACUCACUCACUAACUACUUUGCCUUGACGCUAACAGUUGUUCCAAUACAAUACAUCCAUUUAGUAAAAACAUAUCAUAAUUCAUCAUUCACUUGGAAGGCAGUAAACUAAUGUGACAUUUGCCAACAACUAGACGUAGCUCAUGCAUUCUUUCAAAUAAAUGUGGUCGGGAAGCAGAUUAGCAAUGACAUUUUCAAGAAUAUUGUGACUUUGUAUAUAUACUUUUUCCUUUUGAAGAGCUCCAAGAUGUGUCUAGUAUUCCGUAAGCUUUCUAAGCGAUAAAUAAUGUUCCUCCAGAUCAAUUGAACUCCUAACACUGACAAGAUGACUAUAUCCAGAAAUCUCCACACUGAUCUUAUCAAUUUGAGCCUUCAUGUCUGCAAAUUGGUUUAUUCUCUCCUCUUUCUUUAGUUUCAAAUCUCCCACCACAUGUGUGACUAGAGUGAGUUGCCCUUUCAAUGUUUUUGCUUUCUUCUCUUAUCGGAUUUAUGAAUUUUAUAAUACAUGCUUUUAAAAAAGAAAUAUUAAAUAAAAUAAAGAAUUUUGACCAAAACUUUGAUUGAGAUCUUGAAUGUUAAUGAAAUUGUUGAAAUCUCGCUCUACCUCCUAUUUUAGAAUUAUUUUGUUACAGAGGAAAAUAGAAAAUAAGAAAGUGAUGCCCGCCUGAUUACAAACUGAUAACAUUUUAAGCAAUGAUAAAAAGAAGAUACUUUCCAAGCUUCUACAUAUCUGCUUUUCAUUAAGAUAUUCUCAAGUAGAUUAUAAAGUGGCAGUAAGCUUCAUGGAUAUUACUUAUAAAUGCAGGUUAUCUUGUAGAUUAUAAAAUGGCAAUAAGCUUCAUGGGUAUUCAUCAUCAAAGGCCUCUACUCAGUGUAUGUUGACCCGACUCUUAAAAGACUGUUUCUUAAAUGCUCUUCCAGUGUUGAUUCUAAUAAAUGCUCAAACAUGAUCAAUUUAUCUUCCCACUUAUGCCCCCUCCCAGCAACAUGAUAAAACUCAAUUACAUAAAUCCUGAAUAACAAAAUAAUUGAUAAAAAAACAACCAAUAUGCAGCCCAUAGAAAGUCUAUAAUUAACACUAAGGUAUAAGCAUUUCCCAUUUAUCAUGUUAAACUAGGAUUGGUUUAGCAAAAAAAAAAAGAGUAACAAUAACUUACGACUAAAGUAUAAAACCCUCUUGAGUUUCGUAUCUCUGAGAAAUUACAAUCAAUUUUAAAGAGUGAUUCUUAGUAUGUGUCAUCCAAACAGAAAAUACUCUUAGAGCGCGUUUGUUUCAAGGAAAAUGUUUUCUGCAUUUCAGACAAUUGGAAUAACUGUAAAAAUUGGUAAUUGUUUUGCAGGUCAAUGCACAAGUUAGUUUUCCGAAAAAAUGAUGUGUACUCUUCAACUACACAAGUCAUUUUCCCUGAAAAUCAUUUCUUAGAAACAAGCAGACCUUCAAAAUUUGGAGAAAGUUGAGAAUACAUAAUAGUCCUAAAAUAAGAGUCCAUUAUCAAAAUCAAUGUAAAGAAUUUAUGAAAAAAAACUCACUUUUUAAGGGUGGCAGUAUGAUUCACAUAUUCAAUUACAUUCACAAUUCACAAAUGCAGAUUACCAAAUAAUAAAUAAAAAUCAAAUGCUUGAUAUAAUGAUACAUUAAAACAGGGAACAAACUGAAAAUCAUUCAAUAACUCCAAAAAUUCAGUAAAAAUUUAUUUUUUAAAAUAAUAAUAAUUUGAGAAAUCAGUUUUGUACCAAAAUUCUUAAUAAUAACAAGUUCGACGAUUUUGAAAAGGGAUGAGCUAGGGAGUCGUUGAACCAAUGACACGUCGCCUAAUUAAAACUUAUCAUAACAAGCUUAUCAGAAUAAUUAAAACUAGAAGCUAUCUACUAAUUGAGAAGGAAUAAAAUCAAAAUAAAAUGAUGGGAAAAUGAAAAUUUACAUGGUUCUGACAAUAAAACAAUGUAAAAUGCCAACCUGUAUUAAAUUAGCAAUAAAAGCAAGGGGGUAAGAGAGAUCUAGUUUGAGUAGACAUUUUAUCAAACACGUUGUGAGCUUCCCUAAUUGCUACCAAACAAGAUAUAUAAUAAAUUACACACAGGUAGGUACUAAUAAUAUUAGGUUUCUUAACAGUAAAUACACAAAAUUAAAAACUAACCUUUACUUUAGGGACACCAAUGGAGGAGGAGGAGGCAACACACUGCCGCCAACACAAACCACUUAUCGACAAGUUAAAAUUUAGGGCUUGUUAGAGGGAGGAGAGAAAUAGAGGAAAUCAAAACAAAAUUAGGGGUAGAUGAGAUAAAUACAUUUUGUUUUUAUAUUUGAUUAAUGUAAAUAUAAAUUGAAAACCUAAAGACUGAAAUUACCUGCUCAAAUAGUUUCAAUAUGCAGAAUUGCUGUCAAGGGUUCCAAUGUGAGAGGGACGGAUGGAUGGAGUGAGAUGAGAGAGAUAUGUAUGGAGUUUGCAGUGGGAGAAAUGUGAGGACAUGCAGACAACAGAGCGAUGAGUUGUGGCUUUCUAUAGGGAGGAGGGGUUUACCGAAGAGGGAGAUGUUUGAUUUGUUAAUUCUUUUCCUUUUGUUGCUUACUGAUAUGUCGAAGACGACGAUUGAAGGAGAUAGGGCGAUUGAGGGAGAUAGGGCUCGACUGAAUGUAUUUUCUAAAUUGAGAGAGUUAAAAUUGAAGGAGAGAAUGGGCGUAAAAAUAAUGGGGGGACAUUUUC